AGAUAUGAGGCCAAUUUGGCUGCGAUAUCUGUCACUCUACUGAUCUCCACGGUUGAUUUGGCUCAUCUGGUUGACUAGGAGGUUGUCUCCUUUCUCAUCUCUCCAUGUGCAUCCGUCCUAAAGCUGUGAGAUCAGUAGAAAAGGAUAACCCUCCCCAAUAGCAGAGGACAGUUCUUCAGUCAAGAU
RNAcentral lists this small nuclear RNA (186 nucleotides) under Tupaia belangeri chinensis (Chinese tree shrew). RNAcentral describes it as "Tupaia chinensis (Chinese tree shrew) 7SK RNA". It matches the Rfam family "7SK RNA". From Rfam's summary of the family: 7SK was discovered as an abundant small nuclear RNA in the mid-70s but a possible function has only recently been suggested. The record is from Rfam by way of RNAcentral. Lineage: Eukaryota; Metazoa; Chordata; Mammalia; Scandentia; Tupaiidae.